CAAAGAUGGGUUGAGCAAUCUGUAAUUCCCAUCAAGAACACUGCAGUGGACAGAACUCUCUAUCUCUACGCUCAUUCUCAUUUCAGUGGCGAGCCAGCUGGCUGUGCAGGGUUGCCGUCUCUCAGUGUUUGUGUGGUGCCAAGGGACAGUGGAGAGGCAUAAAUAUUCAGUAAUAAGCUCCAGGAAAGUGCAGGGAAUCUUGAUGGGAGCAUGUGACAUGAUAAAGGGGACUGAGUUUGGCUCUGUGGGGCAGAAUAACACUGUCUAUGGCCACUGGCAAUUGGGAGGAAUACGGUGCAGCUGACGGCAGGGGAGUUGGACAGAGGAGGCCGUUUAGAAGUACAUUUAGGAAAGCCUGCACCAAGGAAAAGAUUGGGAUGUGUCCUGAGGCCCUGAUGAAAAACCACAGGCUCUGGGUCUCUUCUCUCUGAACUUGAAGAGGGAAGAAAAAGAAGCAGCGAAGUAUCACCUUUAUCCAGCCCAGGCCCCGGAGUCCAUUCUGCAAACUCCCUCUUCCCCAAAUGAAGGCUGACAUCCUCAUUGAAGGAGAGUCCUUCUGAGAAGACUGCAGUUGUGCACCCUGCGAUGGAGACUGUCAUCCUGCGAGCAGGAAUGAUGUGUGAUGGGUGUGAGCAGGGAGUUUUCAGGUGAUUUACAACUCCAGUCCUAGCUGCAGAUCUUGGGAGGUAACCUUGCUCCAAAUCCUAAUUUAUAAAACUAAGAAUUGGCUUCACAUUCUCAAGGCCCUUUGCAGCUCCAUAGU
Non-coding RNA from Ictidomys tridecemlineatus (thirteen-lined ground squirrel), 763 nucleotides. NCBI's taxonomy places the organism in Eukaryota, Metazoa, Chordata, Mammalia, Rodentia, Sciuridae. The record is from RefSeq and is a predicted model, not a curated record.